This 345-nucleotide unclassified non-coding RNA is filed under the name soil metagenome. Its description in RNAcentral is "partial contains 5.8S ribosomal RNA, internal transcribed spacer 2, and large subunit ribosomal RNA". The stretch from base 1 to 120 matches the Rfam family "5.8S ribosomal RNA", at positions 35 to 154 of the family's 154-position model. The record is from RNAcentral.
GAUGAAGACCGCAGCGAAAUGCGAUACGUAAUGUGAAUUGCAGAAUUCAGUGAAUCAUCGAGUCUUUGAACGCACAUUGCGCCCCCUGGUAUUCCGGGGGGCAUGCCUGUCCGAGCGUCAUUGCUGCCCUCAAGCACGGCUUGUGUGUUGGGCCUCCGUCCUCCUCCCGGGGGACGGGCCCGAAAGGCAGCGGCGGCACCGCGUCCGGUCCUCGAGCGUAUGGGGCUUCGUCACCCGCUCUUGUAGGCCCGGCCGGCGCUUGCCGACACAUCAAUCUUUUUUCCAGGUUGACCUCGGAUCAGGUAGGGAUACCCGCUGAACUUAAGCAUAUCAAUAAGCGGAGGA